AUGAGUGUAUUUAAGCUCCCUGCUUCGGUUUGUGACGAGUUGACUCGUAUGAUCCGUCAUUAUUGGCGGGGAGUUGAAAACGGGAAGAAGAAGAUGGCCUGGAUGAGCUGCGCUAGAUUGAGGCUACCUAAACCUAUGGGUGGCAUGGGGUUUAAGGAUAUGAGGGCUUUUAACCAAGCUUUGUUGGCCAAACAAGCUUGGCGCUUGAUAGACACGCCGGACAGCCUCUGUGCAAGACUAAUGAAGGCCAGAUAA
This 255-nucleotide ribosomal RNA is filed under the name Triticum aestivum (bread wheat). RNAcentral's name for it is "partial small subunit ribosomal RNA". Lineage: Eukaryota; Viridiplantae; Streptophyta; Magnoliopsida; Poales; Poaceae. The record is from RNAcentral.